AAGUCAAUUUUGAUAAAAAUUCCUGUCUCAGUGGUUAGCGGAAUACAUUGCAUACUAGUGCUUUAUGGCGCAGGGAUACAUGUUUUCUUGGUCUUAUUGGGCAGCUGAAGAAAGUAUGAAGAAAUACUGUUGCUUCUGAAACCACAGAUCUAGUUUCUUCUGUGCCACCAGCCAUUUCACUUUACUAUGCGUCUACCUCAUAUGUCGACAUGCUCCUCAAAAUUACCUAUUAAAACUUGUCCACACAGCAGAAAUAAUAAAAAUAGAGAAAAAGGGCAGAGCAAAAAAUGACUAACAUUUUAUCUCUCAAUCUGACAUGAAUCAGUUCUAGACCCAUAUCAUAUGGGUUCAGAUACAUUCUAUUCUACAACUCCUUCUUCUUCUUCUUCUUCCUUUUUUCUUUUUUGUUUAACAGAGAAUGAGAUCUUCAUUUUUAUUACUACUUAAAUGCAUUUACAAUUACUUCAAAAGUACAUACAAGUGCCUAUAUUUUUCUUUUGUUUUCUCUAAGUCCAUCGUUAAAUGGACAACUUUCAUUUAAGUUCAUCCAAUGGCUCAUAUUUCAUUUCAUAUUUAUUCUUAGAAAUUCAAAAUUAUAUUUUGAUUUACAAAUUAAAAGAUUUUAGCCUCAACAGUUUUUGAUAAAGCUAUAGAGAGAAAACAUCAGUAAUCCAACUUGGUAGGUAAGCAUACCAAAGAUGAACCUUGAAAAAACUGAAGCAGUUGCAACAUUAAGAAAAAAAGUUUCAAAUAAAGUCAAUUUUGCCAACACACAUUAUCUUCUAUAACUUUCAUUUUGUCCCCAUGGAAACACAUUAUGCCAUGACCACUUAGUAAAUCAAUUUCCUUAGAUUUUGAAGGAAAACAAAGGAAAUUAAAGCUGAAUAUAGCUCAUCCGAACAGGGUACACUACUCUCCUUGUUCCUCAUGUUUGGAAUCAACAUUUCGGUAAGUAACAUAAGACCCUCCAAUUCAAUGACCCCAGAAAUGCAAAAAUUUCAUCAAAAAACUAUGCAUAAGUGGAUCAAUCAUUAGUAUUUUCGCUUGAACUACGGUCAUGCCAGUCCUUAGAGUUGGGAUCGCAAAUUGGUUUCACGAAACACGGAAUCUAAACUAUUUAGCCCCCGGCAUAUAUAAUAUAAAUACAAAGAAAACUGAACAUAUUGAUUCUCCUCGUCAACAAAAAUAGGACUUCAUUUAUUGGUGUCAAAUAUACUGAAGCAAAUUCAUAUUUUUGCAGUAAGUUGGGGGCAAUCCCCUAUAAUUUUAUAAAAUUAGUGUUUUAUAUAUAUAUACACACACUGUAACCCUAUUUAGUUUUUAGAUAUAGCUUGAGAACGUAAUCACAUUGCCUAACCUCAUUAAAUUUUGUAUCCUCCGUUUCUUUAAUUUUUUCUCAACAAGAUAUCAAAUGCUGGAUAAUCCACCCAAUAAUCUUGGAGCGGAAAUUCUCUUUGCUGCUGCUAGGUUAUGGUAGUAAACUCAAAUCAAGUGUGCAAUUAUAUGCUGCUAUGGCUAUUGCUAGUGUUGGUUGUGUGAUUUGUUUGCAUCUCAAGCCUGCCGAAGUCCUUUGGAAGUUCGUUACUUGGCGAAUGUGGAUAAGAGAGAAAAGAAGCUGGUGGAGGUGCAAUGGAGAGAUAGAGGAAGUCUUUUCUUUCCAUAUGGAUGGUCAUAUCCGCUUUGUUCCUCUUUUUAGAAGAAUGGUGGUGGUUGGCUAGCGACGGUGCGUCGAGCUUCCUCUGCCGGUCCAAUUUGCUUAUGGUCAAUGUGCGUUACUGUCUCAAACCUUACUUUUUUAGUGAUUGGAUUCAAGUUCUAGGAGUCCUUUGGAGAUUGGAUGCAACAUAUAAAAUUCGAUCUCCCAUGUCGAUGAGGCUUCCAGGGUAGGAAGGGAACGAUUUUGGCAACAUAUUUGUCUAGGGACUAGAUUGUAUUUUUCCUGUAAUUGUAGGCCAUAAAGAAGGGUUUAUUUUAGGUUUAAUGAGUUUUGUACCUGUAUCUUUAAACGUUUAGUUUUAUUUAUUA
This is a long non-coding RNA of Ricinus communis (castor bean), 2025 nucleotides long. RefSeq lists it as uncharacterized. The record is from RefSeq and is a predicted model, not a curated record. NCBI's taxonomy places the organism in Eukaryota, Viridiplantae, Streptophyta, Magnoliopsida, Malpighiales, Euphorbiaceae. The transcript is spliced from 2 exons.